AGCGAACGCUGGCGGCGUGCUUAACACAUGCAAGUCGAGUGCGUAGCCCUUUGUAGCAAUACAGAGGGUGGGCGCACGGCGCACGGGUGAGUAACACGUGGGUAACCUGCCCUUCGGUGGGGAAGUAACCCCGCGAAAGCGGGGCGUAAUUCCGCAUAACAUUCCGGGGACGACAUGUUCUCGGACUCAAAGGAGUGAUUCGCCGGAGGAGGGGCCCGGCCGCCCGACUUAGCUUGUUGGUAGGGGUAACGGCCUACCAAGGCUUUGAUCGGUAGCCGGUCUGAGAGGAUGGCCGGCCACACUGGAACUGAGACACGGUCCAGACUCCUACGGGAGGCAGCAGUGGGGAAUCUUGCGCAAUGGGCGAAAGCCUGACGCAGCGACGCCGCGU
RNAcentral lists this ribosomal RNA (391 nucleotides) under uncultured bacterium. RNAcentral describes it as "bacterial SSU rRNA". It matches the Rfam family "Bacterial small subunit ribosomal RNA", at positions 28 to 402 of the family's 1533-position model. The record is from RNAcentral.